CAGUAGCCGCGGUAAUACGUAGGUGGCAAGCGUUGUCCGGAAUUAUUGGGCGUAAAGCGCGCGCAGGCGGAUCAGUUAGUCUGUCUUAAAAGUUCGGGGCUUAACCCCGUGAUGGGAUGGAAACUGCUGAUCUAGAGUAUCGGAGAGGAAAGUGGAAUCCCUAGUGUAGCGGUGAAAUGCGUAGAUAUUAGGAAGAACACCAGUGGCGAAGGCGACUUUCUGGACGAAAACUGACGCUGAGGCGCGAAAGCCAGGGGAGCGAACGGGAUUAGAUACCCCGGUAGUCCCUGUCUCUUAUACA
Molecule: ribosomal RNA, 301 nt
Filed under: uncultured bacterium
Lineage: Bacteria
Description: partial 16S ribosomal RNA
Rfam family: Bacterial small subunit ribosomal RNA
Source: RNAcentral